ACAGACCGGCACCAAGGACAAUGAAGAGAGCAAGCAGUAAUUUUAAGGUGGUUGAAAAUAUGAAUGUGAACACAAAGAUGGGGCUCACAGUGGGAGACUGGUCCACCAUGAUAGCAUAUGAGAAGCCCACGUGACCACCAUGAGCAUGUGCACCGACCACGGGCCAUAAGAGAUACUACUCAGCCAUAGGCUACAAACAUUUGGUUUGCUUGGCAUGCACAUUCCUCUCUUGUAAAAUGAUGCAUCAGACUCUCAGAGCUAAAUUCGUUAAACCAUCUCCUUUUCCUCUGAAUCCCUGUCAAAAACAAAUCUAAAACUUUGAUUUGCUGUGCAACUUUGCCCGAAGGGAAAUACUGGACUAUUCUGGCCCUAGGCAUUUUCAGCCAUGCUGGGAGUUUUGUGUUAGUCUAGGCUGUGUAUUUCAGCUUCUGGCGAGUUUGUGAGCAUGACUUAGCAUCCUUGUAUUUUGAGAACUCUGGAAAGAGGGAUAACAAGUUUGUGUUUCUAGUUCUUCAAGCCCAAGGGCCAGCCUGGAGGCAGUGGGAGGUGCAUAAGCACCUUCUGCCUUGUGUUUAUCAUUUUGCCUUUGUCGUCCUAACUCAGCAGCCUCAAUCCUUCCUUUGAGAUGGAGUCUCACUCUCUCGCCAGGCAGAGUGCAGUGGCGUGAUCUCGGCUCACUGCAACCUCUACCUCCCAGGUUCAAGCAAUUCGCCUGCCUCAGCCUCCUGAGUAGCUGGGACUACAGAAGCGCGCCACCAUGCCCAGCUAAUUUUUGUAUUUUUAAUAGAGACAGGGUUUCACCAUGUUGGCGAGGAUGGUCUCAAUCUCUUGACCUCGUGAUCCGCCUGCCUCAGCCUCCCAAAGUGCUGGGAUUACAGGCGUGAGCCACCACGCCUGGCCAGCCUCAAUCCUUCUUUACAUCUGCUGCCAUCAAGCUGCUUUCAUCCUUUU
This 951-nucleotide long non-coding RNA is filed under the name Pan troglodytes (chimpanzee). RNAcentral describes it as "long non-coding RNA NONPTRT011143". The record is from RNAcentral. Lineage: Eukaryota; Metazoa; Chordata; Mammalia; Primates; Hominidae.